GGAUCGAUGAUGACACCCUCACAUGCAUUCCUUGGAAAAUCUGAACAAAAUGAGUGAGAACUCACUACCGUCUCCCUCAUCGAAACUGAGGUCC
Molecule: small nucleolar RNA, 94 nt
Filed under: Ovis aries (sheep)
Lineage: Eukaryota; Metazoa; Chordata; Mammalia; Artiodactyla; Bovidae
Description: Small nucleolar RNA SNORD116
Rfam family: Small nucleolar RNA SNORD116
About the family: HBII-85 is a member of the C/D class of snoRNAs, which contain the C (UGAUGA) and D (CUGA) box motifs. HBII-85 is encoded in a tandemly repeated array with another C/D snoRNA, HBII-52, in the Prader-Willi syndrome (PWS) region of chromosome 15. Unlike most other snoRNAs, HBII-85 is expressed prevalently in the brain (but is absent in PWS patients) and lacks any significant complementarity with ribosomal RNA.
Source: Rfam by way of RNAcentral